This 730-nucleotide long non-coding RNA is filed under the name Felis catus (domestic cat). Its description in RNAcentral is "lncRNA (ENSFCAG00000048040.1)". Lineage: Eukaryota; Metazoa; Chordata; Mammalia; Carnivora; Felidae. The record is from RNAcentral.
AUGUGUAACAAAAUGGCUACAAAUAAAUGGAGAAGCACAUCAUCCAACCUGGUGGAGAAUGAAGGCUCCUCAUGUGAAGAAUGUCAGAGAACACUACCUGCUUUAAAAGACACCAGAGAUAGAGAAGAAGAGGGAGAAUCUCAAGCAAGCUCUGUGUUCAGCAUGGAGUCUGACACAGGGCUCAGUUUCACGACCCUGAGAUCAUGACAUGAUUCAAAAUCAAGAAUUGGAUGUUCGACCAACUGAGCCGCCCAGGCACCCCUUUUCAUGCAUAUUUCUGAAACCAAAGGUCCACUUACUAAAAUUGAUUCAUUUAAAAAUAUAUUCUCUAUUGGGAUUUUAAGGGGCCUCAUAGAUAACAAAUCUUCUCCCAAUAGUUCAGAGCCAGUUGAGAUAGACAAAUAGGAACAGACAGAAAUCAAAAUGUUAGAGAAGGAUCUUAGAGACCCGGGUUCAGUUUCAGGACAAUAACAGAAUUCCUAAUACUCGUGGAAACACAGAAGCACAGGUGUCCUUCACACCCAGCAGUGUGCAGGCAUAUGCCCCUGCAGCAGCACAACUCAGUUCAGGAGAUCGGUGUCCCGCAGGCAGACCAGAGGGGACAGGCAGGCGGGACGCUGUACGCUGAUUCCUCUGCCAACAAAACCCAUCAGGUGACUCUCUCCUCUUCUACAGAUGAAGAGACUUACAUGGAAACAGGAAGAGAGAAUAAAGAGUAGUCCAGACCCCA